Molecule: ribosomal RNA, 561 nt
Filed under: uncultured bacterium
Lineage: Bacteria
Description: partial 16S ribosomal RNA
Rfam family: Bacterial small subunit ribosomal RNA
Source: RNAcentral
UGGGGAAUAUUGGACAAUGGGCGCAAGCCUGAUCCAGCCAUGCCGCGUGAGUGAUGAAGGCCCUAGGGUUGUAAAGCUCUUUCGCCAGGGACGAUAAUGACGGUACCUGGAUAAGAAGCCCCGGCUAACUUCGUGCCAGCAGCCGCGGUAAUACGAAGGGGGCUAGCGUUGUUCGGAAUCACUGGGCGUAAAGCGCACGUAGGCGGAUCUUUAAGUCAGGGGUGAAAUCCCGAGGCUCAACCUCGGAACUGCCUUUGAUACUGGAGGUCUCGAGUUCGGGAGAGGUGAGUGGAACUCGAGUGUAGAGGUGAAAUUCGUAGAUAUUCGCAAGAACACCAGUGGCGAAGGCGGCUCACUGGCCCGAUACUGACGCUGAGGUGCGAAAGCGUGGGGAGCAAAACAGGAUUAGAUACCCUGGUAGUCCACGCCGUAAACGAUGGAUGCUAGCCGUUGGGGAGCUUGCUCUUCAGUGGCGCAGCUAACGCUUUAAGCAUCCCGCCUGGGGAGUACGGUCGCAAGAUUAAAACUCAAAUGAAUUGACGGGGUCAUAGCUGUUUCCUG